AACGAACGCUAGCGGCAGGCCUAACACAUGCAAGUCGAACGGACAUCGAAGUUGGUCCGCCAAUGGAGAUGUUAGUGGCAGACGGGUGAGGAAUACAUAGGAAUCUACCUAGUAGUAUGGAAUAGUCACUGGAAACGGUGAGUAAUACCACAUACGCCCUGCGGGGGAAAGAUUUAUCGCUAUUAAAUGAGCCUAUGCUGGAUUAGCUGGUUGGCGGGGUAAAUGCCUACUAAGGCGACGAUCCAUAGCUGGCCUGAGAGGGUGACCAGCCAACCUGGAGCUGAGAGGCGGACCAGACUCCUACGGGAGGCAGCAGUGUGGAAUGUUGAGAAAUGGGCGCAAGCCUGGCCCAGCCAUGCCGCAUGAGGGAAGAAGGCCUUCGUGUUGUAAGGCUCUUUCAGCGGGGAAGAUUAUGACGGUACCCGCAGAAUAAGUCCUGGCUAACUCCGUGCCAGCCGCCGCUGUAA
This 467-nucleotide ribosomal RNA is filed under the name uncultured bacterium. RNAcentral describes it as "partial 16S ribosomal RNA". It matches the Rfam family "Bacterial small subunit ribosomal RNA", at positions 29 to 523 of the family's 1533-position model. The record is from RNAcentral.